CAGCCGCCGCGGUAAUACGUAGGGUGCGAGCGUUAAUCGGAUUUACUGGGCGUAAAGCGUGCGCAGGCGGCCCGUUAAGACAGGUGUGAAAUCCCUGGGCUCAACCUAGGAAUUGCGCUUGUGACUGGCGGGCUCGAGUACGGUAGAAGGGGGUGGAAUUCCUGGUGUGGCAGUGAAAUGCGUAGAGAUCAGGAGGAACACCGAUGGCGAAGGCAGCCCCCUGGGCCUGUACUGACGCUCAUGCACGAAAGCGUGGGGAGCAAACAGGAUUAGAUACCCUGGUAGUCCACGCCCUAAACGAUGGGUACUAGCCGUUUGGUGCGCGAUAGCGCUGAGUGGCGAAGCUAACGCGUGAAGUACCCCGCCUGGGGAGUACGGCCGCAAGGUUGAAACUUAAAGGAAUUGGCGGG
Molecule: ribosomal RNA, 410 nt
Filed under: uncultured microorganism
Description: bacterial SSU rRNA
Rfam family: Bacterial small subunit ribosomal RNA
Source: RNAcentral